RNAcentral lists this ribosomal RNA (651 nucleotides) under uncultured bacterium. Its description in RNAcentral is "bacterial SSU rRNA". It matches the Rfam family "Bacterial small subunit ribosomal RNA", at positions 54 to 693 of the family's 1533-position model. The record is from RNAcentral.
CACGCAAGUCGAACGGCAGCAUGAUCUAGCUUGCUAGAUUGAUGGCGAGUGGCGAACGGGUGAGUAAUACAUCGGAACGUGCCCUGUAGUGGGGGAUAACUAGUCGAAAGAUUAGCUAAUACCGCAUACGACCUGAGGGUGAAAGUGGGGGACCGCAAGGCCUCAUGCUAUAGGAGCGGCCGAUGUCUGAUUAGCUAGUUGGUGGGGUAAAGGCCCACCAAGGCGACGAUCAGUAGCUGGUCUGAGAGGACGAUCAGCCACACUGGGACUGAGACACGGCCCAGACUCCUACGGGAGGCAGCAGUGGGGAAUUUUGGACAAUGGGCGAAAGCCUGAUCCAGCAAUGCCGCGUGUGUGAAGAAGGCCUUCGGGUUGUAAAGCACUUUUGUCCGGAAAGAAAUGGCUCUGGUUAAUACCUGGGGUCGAUGACGGUACCGGAAGAAUAAGGACCGGCUAACUACGUGCCAGCAGCCGCGGUUAAUACGUAGGGUCCAAGCGUUAAUCGGAAUUACUGGGCGUAAAGCGUGCGCAGGCGGUUGUGCAAGACCGAUGUGAAAUCCCCGAGCUUAACUUGGGAAUUGCAUUGGUGACUGCACGGCUAGAGUGUGUCAGAAGGGGGUAGAAUUCCACGUGUAACAGUGAAUUGCUUAA